This 2930-nucleotide ribosomal RNA is filed under the name Escherichia coli. Its description in RNAcentral is "23S ribosomal RNA". It matches the Rfam family "Bacterial large subunit ribosomal RNA". Lineage: Bacteria; Pseudomonadati; Pseudomonadota; Gammaproteobacteria; Enterobacterales; Enterobacteriaceae. The record is from RNAcentral.
GGGUUGUGAGGUUAAGCGACUAAGCGUACACGGUGGAUGCCCUGGCAGUCAGAGGCGAUGAAGGACGUGCUAAUCUGCGAUAAGCGUCGGUAAGGUGAUAUGAACCGUUAUAACCGGCGAUUUCCGAAUGGGGAAACCCAGUGUGUUUCGACACACUAUCAUUAACUGAAUCCAUAGGUUAAUGAGGCGAACCGGGGGAACUGAAACAUCUAAGUACCCCGAGGAAAAGAAAUCAACCGAGAUUCCCCCAGUAGCGGCGAGCGAACGGGGAGCAGCCCAGAGCCUGAAUCAGUGUGUGUGUUAGUGGAAGCGUCUGGAAAGGCGCGCGAUACAGGGUGACAGCCCCGUACACAAAAAUGCACAUGCUGUGAGCUCGAUGAGUAGGGCGGGACACGUGGUAUCCUGUCUGAAUAUGGGGGGACCAUCCUCCAAGGCUAAAUACUCCUGACUGACCGAUAGUGAACCAGUACCGUGAGGGAAAGGCGAAAAGAACCCCGGCGAGGGGAGUGAAAAAGAACCUGAAACCGUGUACGUACAAGCAGUGGGAGCACGCUUAGGCGUGUGACUGCGUACCUUUUGUAUAAUGGGUCAGCGACUUAUAUUCUGUAGCAAGGUUAACCGAAUAGGGGAGCCGAAGGGAAACCGAGUCUUAACUGGGCGUUAAGUUGCAGGGUAUAGACCCGAAACCCGGUGAUCUAGCCAUGGGCAGGUUGAAGGUUGGGUAACACUAACUGGAGGACCGAACCGACUAAUGUUGAAAAAUUAGCGGAUGACUUGUGGCUGGGGGUGAAAGGCCAAUCAAACCGGGAGAUAGCUGGUUCUCCCCGAAAGCUAUUUAGGUAGCGCCUCGUGAACUCAUCUCCGGGGGUAGAGCACUGUUUCGGCAAGGGGGUCAUCCCGACUUACCAACCCGAUGCAAACUGCGAAUACCGGAGAAUGUUAUCACGGGAGACACACGGCGGGUGCUAACGUCCGUCGUGAAGAGGGAAACAACCCAGACCGCCAGCUAAGGUCCCAAAGUCAUGGUUAAGUGGGAAACGAUGUGGGAAGGCCCAGACAGCCAGGAUGUUGGCUUAGAAGCAGCCAUCAUUUAAAGAAAGCGUAAUAGCUCACUGGUCGAGUCGGCCUGCGCGGAAGAUGUAACGGGGCUAAACCAUGCACCGAAGCUGCGGCAGCGACGCUUAUGCGUUGUUGGGUAGGGGAGCGUUCUGUAAGCCUGUGAAGGUGUGCUGUGAGGCAUGCUGGAGGUAUCAGAAGUGCGAAUGCUGACAUAAGUAACGAUAAAGCGGGUGAAAAGCCCGCUCGCCGGAAGACCAAGGGUUCCUGUCCAACGUUAAUCGGGGCAGGGUGAGUCGACCCCUAAGGCGAGGCCGAAAGGCGUAGUCGAUGGGAAACAGGUUAAUAUUCCUGUACUUGGUGUUACUGCGAAGGGGGGACGGAGAAGGCUAUGUUGGCCGGGCGACGGUUGUCCCGGUUUAAGCGUGUAGGCUGGUUUUCCAGGCAAAUCCGGAAAAUCAAGGCUGAGGCGUGAUGACGAGGCACUACGGUGCUGAAGCAACAAAUGCCCUGCUUCCAGGAAAAGCCUCUAAGCAUCAGGUAACAUCAAAUCGUACCCCAAACCGACACAGGUGGUCAGGUAGAGAAUACCAAGGCGCUUGAGAGAACUCGGGUGAAGGAACUAGGCAAAAUGGUGCCGUAACUUCGGGAGAAGGCACGCUGAUAUGUAGGUGAAGUCCCUCGCGGAUGGAGCUGAAAUCAGUCGAAGAUACCAGCUGGCUGCAACUGUUUAUUAAAAACACAGCACUGUGCAAACACGAAAGUGGACGUAUACGGUGUGACGCCUGCCCGGUGCCGGAAGGUUAAUUGAUGGGGUCAGCGCAAGCGAAGCUCUUGAUCGAAGCCCCGGUAAACGGCGGCCGUAACUAUAACGGUCCUAAGGUAGCGAAAUUCCUUGUCGGGUAAGUUCCGACCUGCACGAAUGGCGUAAUGAUGGCCAGGCUGUCUCCACCCGAGACUCAGUGAAAUUGAACUCGCUGUGAAGAUGCAGUGUACCCGCGGCAAGACGGAAAGACCCCGUGAACCUUUACUAUAGCUUGACACUGAACAUUGAGCCUUGAUGUGUAGGAUAGGUGGGAGGCUUUGAAGUGUGGACGCCAGUCUGCAUGGAGCCGACCUUGAAAUACCACCCUUUAAUGUUUGAUGUUCUAACGUUGACCCGUGAUCCGGGUUGCGGACAGUGUCUGGUGGGUAGUUUGACUGGGGCGGUCUCCUCCUAAAGAGUAACGGAGGAGCACGAAGGUUGGCUAAUCCUGGUCGGACAUCAGGAGGUUAGUGCAAUGGCAUAAGCCAGCUUGACUGCGAGCGUGACGGCGCGAGCAGGUGCGAAAGCAGGUCAUAGUGAUCCGGUGGUUCUGAAUGGAAGGGCCAUCGCUCAACGGAUAAAAGGUACUCCGGGGAUAACAGGCUGAUACCGCCCAAGAGUUCAUAUCGACGGCGGUGUUUGGCACCUCGAUGUCGGCUCAUCACAUCCUGGGGCUGAAGUAGGUCCCAAGGGUAUGGCUGUUCGCCAUUUAAAGUGGUACGCGAGCUGGGUUUAGAACGUCGUGAGACAGUUCGGUCCCUAUCUGCCGUGGGCGCUGGAGAACUGAGGGGGGCUGCUCCUAGUACGAGAGGACCGGAGUGGACGCAUCACUGGUGUUCGGGUUGUCAUGCCAAUGGCACUGCCCGGUAGCUAAAUGCGGAAGAGAUAAGUGCUGAAAGCAUCUAAGCACGAAACUUGCCCCGAGAUGAGUUCUCCCUGACCCUUUAAGGGUCCUGAAGGAACGUUGAAGACGACGACGUUGAUAGGCCGGGUGUGUAAGCGCAGCGAUGCGUUGAGCUAACCGGUACUAAUGAACCGUGAGGCUUAACCUUACAACGCCGAAGCUGUU